This 2071-nucleotide small RNA is filed under the name Pongo abelii (Sumatran orangutan). RNAcentral describes it as "retained intron". Lineage: Eukaryota; Metazoa; Chordata; Mammalia; Primates; Hominidae. The record is from RNAcentral.
UUUGUGAUCCUAAUCAAUGUACUUAAUUCCAGUUAAGGAGACGAAAAAUUGAAGUGAGUUUACAGCCAGAGGUUCCACCAUCCAAACAACUUUUGUCAACCAUAAUGAAAGAUUCAGAAAAACACAUUGAAGUAGAAGUACGGAAAUUUUUGGCUCUGAAGCAGACACCUGACUUUCAUACUGUCGUUGGGGACACAGUAACAGGACUUCUGGAAAGGUGUAAAGCAGAACCAUCAUUUUAUCCCCGGAACUGUCUGAUGCAGCUUAUCCAAACGCAUGUGCUUUCUUACAGGUAGCUGUUUGUGUGUACCAGACUGUACGUGCAUAAUUCUUCUGACCUUGUUUUUAUAGUUCUAAUCUUCUGAAACUCUCAGAAGGCUUAUAAAUGUUCUGCAGUUGAGAAUUUUCUUAAUAUGUAAUAGUGAUUCAGAUUUUUUUGUCUUAGUUUGUGCCCCGACUUAAUGGAGAUUGCCUUAAAAAAGAAAGAUGUACAGUUGUUACAACUCUGUCUACAGCAGUUCCCUGACAUUCCUGAAUCAGUCACCUGUGCUUGCUUAAAAAUUUUCUUGAGCAUUGGUGAUGACAGUCUUCAAGAAACAGAUGUCAGUAUGGAGUCAGUUUUUGACUAUAGUAAUUCUGUACAUGAUGAGAAAAUGGAAGAGCAAACUGAAAUUCUUCAAAAUGGCUUCAAUCCUGAAGAAGAUAAAUGCAAUAACUGUGAUCAAGAGUUAAAUAAAAAGCCCCAGGACGAAACAAAGGAGAGCACUUCAUGCCCUGUGGUACAAAAAAGAGCAGCUCUACUGUAUCCUUUGACAUAGAGCAUCCCUCUGUUUCUCUUUAUAGGGUAUAGUUAUAUGCCAAGCAAUAACCAAGGAGUAACUCAAUAACUGAAGGUUUUUCUUUCCUUUUCCAAUUGUUUUUUGUUUCUGUUUGCAAAUAGAUUAUGUUCAAUGCUACAUUAAGUAAGGUUUACUUAAACCUGUUUAAUUUAACUAGGCCGGGCAUGGUGGCUCAUGCCUGUAGUCCUAGCACUUUGGGAGGCUGAGGUGGGAGGAUUGUCUGAACCCGGGAGUCCAACACCAGCCUGGGCAACAUGGCGAGACCCCCAUCUCUACAUCAGAUUAAAAAAAAAAAGAAGAAGAAGCUGCUGCUAUACUAACACAGAAGCUCUAUCAAUUCUGAAGAUCAGUAUUCUGAAUAAAUACCAAUUAAAGUAUUCCACAUGAUCUCCAAUGAUUAGGAGAGUGUUUGGCGAUAGAGCUCUUUUAGAGAUGUAAAACUUUUGUAUAGAUUUAGAAAACUAACAUUGACAAAGGCAGUUACUCAUAAGUUCAAUAGAAUAGCUUCUAUUUAUUGAAGUAAGAUUUUCCUUUAGUCCUUAGUAAUGCAAUUCUUCAUUCAGCAUUUAGCGAAACAUUUCUUCUGCCUCAUUUGAAAGACAUCCCAGCACAGCAUAUCACGCUGUUUCUUAAGUAUUUGUAUUUCCUGUACCUUAAGUGUAGCGAAAAUGCUACUAUGACUCUUCCUGGAAUACACCCACCUACCUUGAACCAGAUUAUGGAUUGGAUAUGUCUACUUCUGGAUGCAAAUUUUACUGUUGUAGUAAUGAUGCCAGAAGCAAAGAGGCUACUGAUAAAUCUUUACAAGCUUGUAAAAUCUCAGAUAACUGUUUAUUCCGAGCUCAACAAGAUUGAAGUAAGUUUUCGGGAGCUACAGAAAUUAAAUCAAGAAAAGAAUAAUAGAGGAUUAUAUUCAAUUGAAGUGCUGGAGCUCUUCUGAUAUUAUCAAUUCUCCUUCAUAGACAUUUUAUAAAGCUCUUUUAUGUGAACUCUUGCUUCAUCCAGGCAAGAACGGUGUUUUGUUUGCGACCAUCUCGGUGUCAAGAGAAACGUGUCAGUGAGUACCUGGACCAUCACUUAACUGAUGCUCCGGGGUAGGGCUGCAGGUUUCACGUGAACCUAUUCUAGGUUGUGGACAUUGGUGCGGAGAGGUUCUGCAAUUUUUUAAAAAUACGUAACUGGGUUGAUUUUAAGUAAAAUUAUUUGUGUAUUGAUAAAAGUCUAAUUUCUUA